GAUGAACGCUGGCGGCGUGCCUAAUACAUGCAAGUCGAGCGAACAGACGAGGAGCUUGCUCCUCUGACGUUAGCGGCGGACGGGUGAGUAACACGUGGAUAACCUACCUAUAAGACUGGGAUAACUUCGGGAAACCGGAGCUAAUACCGGAUAAUAUAUUGAACCGCAUGGUUCAAUAGUGAAAGACGGUUUUGCUGUCACUUAUAGAUGGAUCCGCGCCGCAUUAGCUAGUUGGUAAGGUAACGGCUUAUCAAGGCGACGAUGCGUAUCCGAGCUGAGAGGGUGGUAGGCCACCCUGGAAGUGAGACGGGGUCCAGACUCCUACGGGAGGCAGCAGUAGGGAAUCUUCCGCAAUGGGCGAAAGCCUGACGGAGCAACCGCGCGUGAGUGAUGAAGGUCUUCGGAUCGUAAUACUCUGUUAUUAGGGAAGAACAAAUGUGUAAGUAACUAUGCACGUCUUGACGGUACCUAAUCAGAAAGCCACGGCUAACUACGUG
RNAcentral lists this ribosomal RNA (497 nucleotides) under uncultured bacterium. RNAcentral's name for it is "partial 16S ribosomal RNA". It matches the Rfam family "Bacterial small subunit ribosomal RNA", at positions 28 to 507 of the family's 1533-position model. The record is from RNAcentral.